GAGAGAGAGAGAGAGAGGAAGAAACGAAGAAGAGAAAGAAGAGAGGAGAAAGGAAGAGAAAGGAAGAGAAGGAAAGAAGAAGAAAAGAAAAAAAGAGGAAGAGAGGAGAAAGGAAGAAAAAGAAGAGAAAGUUACGAAGGAGGGAAGAGAGAGAGAAGGGAAAAAUUAACGAAGAAGGGAAUAAGAGAAAUUAAAAAGAGAAGAGAGAGAAAAGAGAAAUCUAACUAUAUAUAUAAUUAUCUUUAUUUACAUUUAACUUAUUUACCUAAAAUAACCUCCUAAUAACAUCUAAUUACAUAUAUAUAAAAAAUAAUUAAUGAUUGACUGCGAUUGCGUUCGAAAAAAAUACCCCCAAAAAUAUGAAUUAAUGACCUCUACGGUAUAAUUAGGGGCAAAAUAUAUUAUAGUAUUAUUUAACCUUACUUAAUGUACCUUAAUUAAAUGCCUAUAGGUCUUAAUAAAGGUUAUUAGAAGAAAAAUGUCCAAAUCUGAACCGCUUGAACACAUCUGAGCGCCAUAGGUUACGCGGGGAGCUGCACGUGUCGAUGCCGUUCACAUUUUUAACGUUUAUUAUACGUUCCUGACCUUGCCCGGCUAAGAAGCAUAUGACUUUGUGUCCCAAUGUCCACCACUGGUGUUGGUGCUGAAGUGAGGCAUCGAGACAGUUGCUGUGGUCAGUACUUGUUCCGUCUCUGCUGCCGCUGACUUCAGGACUCCUUGGUGCAUCCCUCGCCUUGCCUGCUCAGUUGGUCACUGAGUGUGGCCUUGAAGCAACCUCGCCACCUCCUCCAGCAUCUCUGAGGCUCCUCAAGGCCAGCCAACUCCUCACAUCCAGAGUAGUGUUGCAGUGGAGGCUGCAAGGCGGGACAGCAGCUGGAGUGGCUGGGAUCAGCAGGAGCAGACUGCUACUGGUGUGAGGUUCAGGAGUGAUAAAAAACACCACCAACAACAACAACAACUGCUGGCCUCUUCAUCCACAAAGGGGGAAGUUUGAAUUUCAGAAGUGUGACAAGAUCUGAGAAAGAGCAAGUGUACUGACCAAAGCCAAGAGUGUGAGAAAAGACGUACAGGGAAGGAUGGCCUCAACAAAUACACCCACACACUCUGGUGUAAGACCUCAUGAAAGUCGGGAGUGUGGCAAAAGGUUUAGUAAUACGAGUAACCCCAAACACCACACCCUUACACACGCUGGUUCAAGAAACCAUGAGUGUGAAGUUUGUGGGAAAUGUUUCAGUCGGAAGGGUCACCUCAACACACACACCCUUACACACACUGAUGCAAGAAGUCAUGAGUGUGAAGUUUGUGGGAAAUGUUUCAGUCGGAAGGGUAACCUCAACACACACACCCUUACACACACUGAUGCAAGAAAUCAUGAGUGUGAAGUUUGUGGGAAAUGUUUCAGUCUGAAGGGUCACCUCAACACACACACCCUUACACACACUGAUGCAAGAAGUCAUGAGUGUGAAGUUUGUGGGAAAAGAUUCAAACUGAAGAGUAUAUUGGACAGGCACGUCUUCAGACACUCUGGUCAUAAGGGGUUCAAGUGCGAUGUUUGUGGGAAACGAUUCUUUACUAAGGGGGAGAUUGCGAGUCAUAUGAAGGUCCAUUUCUCCUGAGGUGCUUUGCUGAUUCAGUUCUGCUGUGUGUGUGAGUGCAAGUGUUUGUUGUGGUGGUGUUACAGGGCUGUGUGUAGCAUAGAGAACAUAAAAUAUUCAUCUGUUGGAACAAAUGGUGACUGAUGGCAUGAUCUGUUAUUCACUUUCCACCCCAGGCUUCAUGUGGUUGGUGGGUCCUGUGAAAGGUCUGAUCUUUUUGGUGACUGUGCUGGGCUGGUUGUUGUGGCCUGGGCUUAUUGGUCAAGUGUGUGUGUGUGUUAAUAGUAAUAAUAUAGUGUAUUUGGUCUCACCAGCACACACACGCACAGAUUAUUUGUUCUUGCUUUAAAUAAUAUUGGUGACGAUGGUCUAUUGUCGUAUAUUUUCUCUUCAGACAUUUCUGUCUUCCAAUUUUUAUAUAUUGAUAAACUUGACUUCCUGCUGCCAUCUAUUACUAUCCCAGUCUAUAAUCUUAUUCUUUAAUUUUUCUUUCUUAAUUGCUCUUAGGUCAGAGUAAUUUAAAUUAAUGUCUUUCAUAAAUAGUCUCCAUGGUGCUUGACCCAAUCUCUCCUCUCAAGACUGGAACUUGAGCAUAGCUUGGUGCUCCCAGGAUUGCCCUAUACACGGAAUUUUCAAUCCUCUGUAACUUUUGAAUUUGAUCAGUGGGAGGCUGGAAUGAUAGUGGUUGAGUGCAGUGUGGUGGUGCCGGGGAGGGGGAGGACAUCCUCUUCCAGAUGGUGGCAAGGUGUUAGUCCCAGGUCAUCCUUAGGUCAGACGCUGAUGGCGGGAUUCAGGCAGAGCAGUGGGAGUUAACUCAGGCCACAGACUGAACACUUGUGCCAUACCCUGGGCUGGUGGGACAAGAGAGGGGGGUGGUUGGGGGGACAAGGGCACAGCCUUGGUGGGGGUGGUGUACAUUGUGCUCCACUUGAGUGACAAGGCCCCAACACAGCAGUCACCAAAGCAGAGCAGGCCUUUCCCGGCAGCAGGGUGGGCAGGAUGACAGCACUGUAGGCAAACCACACCAAACUGGCAGUUGGGAGGGGUAACUGAGGUCUUAUGGUGUCACUUUCCUGUUUCCAACCUUGUGAUGUCACAUCUCAACAAGCAAGUCAAAUACCACGGCAGCCUUUGGGGGGGGGGGCACAACAGCAGUGUCACCACUUCCUUUGAGGGAUGAGAGAAAUAACGGAAACAGGAGAAAGGAAUAAGGGUGAAUUAAGUUUGGUGAUGCAAAGGCGAGUUAACAAUUGUCUCCAUACACUCCCGUCUUCUCAUUCUUCCCUCCCCUACUUCUCUUGGGUGUUCUACCACCCUGCUCCCCAUCCCCUCUCUUCCCCCAAUCAGAAUUAUAACAGGUUAAUUGCAUUUACAUGUGUCUUGUAUGCCCUCAAAUUUCAGUGUCCCACUUGGGAAUUUAUGUAAAAAUAAAAAAGCAUUCCGA
This is a long non-coding RNA of Eriocheir sinensis (Chinese mitten crab), 3039 nucleotides long. RefSeq lists it as uncharacterized. The transcript has 2 exons. The record is from RefSeq and is a predicted model, not a curated record. NCBI's taxonomy places the organism in Eukaryota, Metazoa, Arthropoda, Malacostraca, Decapoda, Varunidae.